UCUGAGCAAUAAAAUAAAAAUGAAACGGUUGGAUUAAAGCUCAAUGGCCGAAAUAGUACAAUUGAGAAAAAAUUUACAGAAAAGACAAAUCCAUCAAUUUAGAACUAGGAAGCCAAAAGCCCUAAGAGCAACACAAAAGAAAAUAGUUAAAAACAUGAAUAAAAAAUUCAAUAAAUCUGAACAAAGCUUAAAAAUCCGACAUAUCGGCACCAAGACCUAAUAAACCUCGCCAAAGAUCAGAACUCAGGACCUUCUCCAUCAUCAAAUACCGUCCUUAAGCCACAACAUCAAAAAUAUAAGAUAAAAUAGCAUGAAAGCACAACGAGUCGAAUACAAAAAUAAACCGAUCAGAAAAGAAAACCCGGUACGCCAUCGAAUGUCUAGCCUCUGUAAACUGUUUGUCCGAGGUGAAAUGAGGUAGCAGAGAAACUCGAUCUUGAGAGGAUCGACAAUCACUCCUGUACUCCAUCAAAUCCAGCAACUCAUCUUUUCCCAAGCAUGCAUUCGUCCAUAGACGAACUUAUAUAGAAUGAUAACAUGCCUUAGAAGCGAACAAAGAAACACCAAAGAACAGAAUACCCUACACGAAAAAUCAGCAAAAAGGCCAAACAAAUGCCUAAUAAGAAACAUUAAAACAUGAAAAUAAACUAAUUACAAAGGAAAAAGGUAAAAUAAAGAAACAAGGAAAGGCCGUAAUGGCCACCGGAGAGGUUGCCGGUGGACAAACACGCUGACAACCUCCCAACUAAAAAUCUUAAAAUGUGAAGAUAGAUAGUUAGAGAGAGAGAAAGAGAGAAAAAAUAACAUGCAUAGGUUCUCCACCGAGAGAUAACUAUUUUUUUUUUUAAUUGUGUCUAUGGUUUUCUUGCUAUCAUCAUUUAAUUAAUUGUGUACAUUGGUUCGUUAAUCACUUUUCUUACUUGAAAUCAGUGGUGGACACAGGGGGUAAGGGGGCAUCGCCCCCAAACUUUUUCU
This 975-nucleotide long non-coding RNA is filed under the name Ricinus communis (castor bean). RNAcentral describes it as "long non-coding RNA (RCOM_LNC001170)". Lineage: Eukaryota; Viridiplantae; Streptophyta; Magnoliopsida; Malpighiales; Euphorbiaceae. The record is from RNAcentral.